AGGAUGAACGCUGGCGGCGUGCUUAACACAUGCAAGUCGAACGAUGAAGGCUGGAGCCUGCUCUGGCUGGAUUAGUGGCGAACGGGUGAGUAACACGUGAGUAACCUGCCCCAGACUCUGGGAUAAGCGCUGGAAACGGCGUCUAAUACCGGAUACGAGCUUCCACCGCAUGGUGAGG
Molecule: ribosomal RNA, 178 nt
Filed under: uncultured soil bacterium
Lineage: Bacteria
Description: partial 16S ribosomal RNA
Rfam family: Bacterial small subunit ribosomal RNA
Source: RNAcentral